This 72-nucleotide transfer RNA is filed under the name Phlebiopsis gigantea 11061_1 CR5-6. RNAcentral describes it as "tRNA-Ala (TGC) (tRNA-Ala-TGC-1 1 to 3)". It matches the Rfam family "tRNA". From Rfam's summary of the family: Transfer RNA (tRNA) molecules are approximately 80 nucleotides in length. Their secondary structure includes four short double-helical elements and three loops (D, anti-codon, and T loops). The record is from RNAcentral. Lineage: Eukaryota; Fungi; Basidiomycota; Agaricomycetes; Polyporales; Phanerochaetaceae.
GGGCACUUGGCGCAGUGGUAGCGCGCCCGCUUUGCAUGCGGAAGGCCGUGGGUUCAAUCCCCACAGUGUCCA